This 305-nucleotide ribosomal RNA is filed under the name uncultured bacterium. RNAcentral describes it as "bacterial SSU rRNA". It matches the Rfam family "Bacterial small subunit ribosomal RNA", at positions 335 to 656 of the family's 1533-position model. The record is from RNAcentral.
UGCCUACGGGGGGCAGCAGUGGGGAAUAUUGGGCAAUGGGCGCAAGCCUGACCCAGCAACGCCGCGUGAAGGAAGAAGGCUUUCGGGUUGUAAACUUCUUUUGACAGGGAAGAGUAGAAGACGGUACCUGUCGAAUAAGCCACGGCUAACUACGUGCCAGCAGCCGCGGUAAUACGUAGGUGGCGAGCGUUAUCCGGAAUGAUUGGGCGUAAAGGGUGCGCAGGCGGUCCUGCAAGUCUGGAGUGAAACGCAUGAGCUCAACUCAUGCAUGGCUUUGGAAACUGGAGGACUGGAGAGCAGGAGAG